This 430-nucleotide ribosomal RNA is filed under the name Pseudomonadota bacterium. RNAcentral's name for it is "Proteobacteria bacterium partial 16S ribosomal RNA". It matches the Rfam family "Bacterial small subunit ribosomal RNA", at positions 355 to 776 of the family's 1533-position model. Lineage: Bacteria; Pseudomonadati; Pseudomonadota. The record is from RNAcentral.
UGGGGUAUAUUGGACAAUGGGGGGAACCCUGAUCCAGCCAUGCCGCGUGUGUGAAGAAGGCCUUAUGGUUGUAAAGCACUUUAAGCGAGGAGGAGGGUACUGGUAUUAAUACUACCAGCUACUGGACGUUACUCGCAGAAUAAGCACCGGCUAACUCUGUGCCAGCAGCCGCGGUAAUACAGAGGGUGCGAGCGUUAAUCGGAUUUACUGGGCGUAAAGCGUGCGUAGGCGGCUAAUUGAGUCGGAUGUGAAAUCCCCGAGCUUAACUUGGGAAUUGCAUUCGAUACUGGUUAGCUAGAGUGUGGGAGAGGAUGGUAGAAUUCCAGGUGUAGCGGUGAAAUGCGUAGGGAUCUGGAGGAAUACCGAUGGCGAAGGCAGCCAUCUGGCCUAACACUGACGCUGAGGUACGAAAGCAUGGGGAGCAAACAGG